AAGUCACCCCAUGUCUCGGUUAGGCAAGAAAUGAGAGAACUAAAGCUUGGACUUCUAUGCUGACGAUGAUGAGACAGAGUACUAAACUCGCACAAUGAGGUAACCUCGUUCAUUUCUGUUUAUCUUUUGUGGCAAUCGAAUUGAGGUAGAAGGUGUAUGAUUAAUUUGUUGUGUUAGUUUCUGCAAGCGAGAGAGAAUUGUGAUUGUUUUGCUAGAGGAGAGGAGAAGGGAUGAAAGAAAUCAUAGACUCCAAUUUAGAAGAAGAUGGGGGAUUUGAUAAGGGGGCGGUAUAUAUAUGUAGUCGGAGAAGGAGGGGGAGGGUGAGGGGGGUGAAUGGCAAGUUGGUGGUGAUAUUUUGUCGUAUUUAUUUUAAUUAUUCUAUUGCUAGUUGCCAAUGUGCACUUAAUUGCCUUUUUUUUUUCUUUUUUGUGUGUGUUUCGAUGAAAUUUCAUUGCACAAGUGGGCAAAUGGAGAGGGGUGGUUGUCCCUUUGUUGAUAAUGUGGGAGGGUGAUGCCAUUAUCUCACGUCAUCCCUUCGCCAUAACCCAUGCUCGAGGUCAUCUAGAAAAAGAAUUUUUGUGUUACACAUUUGGCUGAGGUGGAGUGGUUAUGUCCAAAUAAAAGUUUCACUUUGGUAAGAACUGGGUUGUUUCUAAGCAAUGAAGCAUGAAGAACGAAGAUAUAAUUCCAAAUUAACUCAUAAUUAUUGGGGCCAUUCCUCGAGGAUUAUGGGGGCAAUUCCAUAGUAACUCAUAAUUAUUGCUCGUUGAUAUUGUAGGAUGAAUGGAAUUGACCGCAGUGGACAAGUAGGAGCGUUAUCAGACCAUUUGGCUUUAAAUAUCGCUCCGUACAAAUGGCAGCAACUUGAUUCAUCUAAAAGAAU
RNAcentral lists this long non-coding RNA (883 nucleotides) under Populus trichocarpa (black cottonwood). RNAcentral describes it as "long non-coding RNA (PTRI_LNC000997)". The record is from RNAcentral. Lineage: Eukaryota; Viridiplantae; Streptophyta; Magnoliopsida; Malpighiales; Salicaceae.